Molecule: ribosomal RNA, 497 nt
Filed under: uncultured bacterium
Lineage: Bacteria
Description: partial 16S ribosomal RNA
Rfam family: Bacterial small subunit ribosomal RNA
Source: RNAcentral
GAUGAACGCUGGCGGCGUGCCUAAUACAUGCAAGUCGAGCGAACAGACGAGGAGCUUGCUCCUCUGACGUUAGCGGCGGACGGGUGAGUAACACGUGGAUAACCUACCUAUAAGACUGGGAUAACUUCGGGAAACCGGAGCUAAUACCGGACAAUAUAUUGAACCGCAUGGUUCAAUAGUGAAAGACGGUUUUGCUGUCACUUAUAGAUGGAUCCGCGCCGCAUUAGCUAGUUGGUAAGGUAACGGCUUACCAAGGCAACGAUGCGUAGCCGACCUGAGAGGGUGAUCAGCCACACUGGAACUGAGACACGGUCCAGACUCCUACGGGAGGCAGCAGUGGGGAAUCUUCCACAAUGGGCGAAAGCCUGACGGAGCAACGCCGCGUGAGUGAUGAAGGUCUUCGGAUCGUAAAACUCUGUUAUUAGGGAAGAACAAAUGUGUAAGUAACUAUGCACGUCUUGACGGUACCUAAACAGAAAGCCACGGCUAACUACGUG